UGCUUCCGCCGAGACCCCUUUUCUGUGUCCCCCGUGGACAUCCCCCUGGGAGCUGGGGACGGACUCGCUCUGAAAUCUGCUUGACCUGGGGUCUGCCAGGGCCCAGGUCUGCGCUCAGUGGUGGCCAUGACAAUCAGGCAGGACGGGGGACUCUGUCCACCUGGGCACGGUGGAAGGUUUUAAGGGGCAUGUUUUCCGCCCCUGGGGGCAGUGGAGGCAUGGACUGCUUUUGGGUGCAUCCCAUCUGUUUGCUUGGGGGAGGAUGCUUCUGUUUUAAUAAUUUACCAGCACCCUGUGAGGAAGUGUUCCCCGAGUUGUGAAACUAGUGAGAAGGUGGUUCAGCUCCGUGGAGCCUAGUGAUCCUGUCAUAUGUGAAGAGCGUCUUUUUCCAUGUGUUUCUGGCUGGGGCGUGUAUUCAGCAAGUUCCUUUGGGUCCCACCGGGUGCCUGCACUGUCUUGGGAUCUCUGGAUACUGGACUGAAUUCAAGGGAUCGGUGCCCUGCCCCAGUCCUCUGCCUCAAUGGCCAUUUAUCAGAAUGUCCCCGGGCUGGAGAAUGCUCCUAAAAACAGCACCAGUCCUAAAGCAGGCUCAUUAGACGACUCCUAUGGGCUUUUAUCACUGCCGUUAUGGGAGCUAAUGACUCCCCUAAUUCUCCAAUAAUAGCUUCCUUAUGAGCCACCAGGAGGGUUUGUCAACACACGGGGUCAGCCUUCUCCUGCAGCCCCUGCUGAAGCAGUGGGCAUCCUCUCUCCGCUUUGCAGUUUAUGUUUUGAAACCCUGAAGGUCGGAGCGUAAAGCCGUGGUAGAGUCAACUUCUGUCUGAGCCGAGGAUUUCUGGGACUUGCCAGCCUCGUCUCCGUGUGUCUGAUUGGACACCUGGCAGGUCCGGGCGCUCCCCCUCCUUGAGCCGGCGACACCAGGACGGGUCAGACUGUCCUGGCCUAGAGGAGGUCACCGCUGGGGAGGAAAAGGGGGUAACGGAGAUUCUGCCGCACAGACGGGUGUCUGUGUACAGGCUGUUUUGGUGGAAGCGUCUACUGUGUCAGGAGCUGCGGGUGCCUGCGUGUGCACGUGUGUGUUUAGUUGCUGAGACCUGAAAUAUAUAUGUCUUAGUAACAAUCCGUUUGCUCGCAUUUUCUAACCCUUUCCUCUUUGGGGAGGGGGCUGCUAACAAGAUGUUAACUGCUGGCGCUUAAAGGUAUAGCUGAUCAGCCACCGCACAGCACCCCGCCUGGCCUUUGUUGUACUUUUCUGUCUCGUGGAAGAGACCCUUCCUCAGCCUCCUGCCCUGUCUUCAGUCCCUGUCCCGUCCUGCAGGAGCCCUCUGGGGUGGCCAGGGGCCGUCCUCUGUGUCCU
RNAcentral lists this long non-coding RNA (1357 nucleotides) under Homo sapiens (human). Its description in RNAcentral is "non-protein coding lnc-UHRF1-2:2". Lineage: Eukaryota; Metazoa; Chordata; Mammalia; Primates; Hominidae. The record is from RNAcentral.